GCCUAUGGCCACACCACCCUGAAAACGCUCGAUCUCGUCUUGAUCUCAGAAGCUAAGCAGGGUUGGGCUCGGUUAGUACUUGGAUGGGAGACCGCCUGGGAAUCCUGGGUGCUGUAGGCU
Molecule: ribosomal RNA, 120 nt
Organism: Pezoporus occidentalis (night parrot)
Lineage: Eukaryota; Metazoa; Chordata; Aves; Psittaciformes; Psittacidae
Source: RefSeq, a predicted model, not a curated record